UACGAAGGGGGCUAGCGUUGCUCGGAAUCACUGGGCGUAAAGCGCACGUAGGCGGAUCUUUAAGUCAGGGGUGAAAUCCUGGAGCUCAACUCCAGAACUGCCUUUGAUACUGGGGAUCUCGAGUCCGGGAGAGGUGAGUGGAACUCCGAGUGUAGAGGUGAAAUUCGUAGAUAUUCGGAAGAACACCAGUGGCGAAGGCGGCUCACUGGGCCCGGUACUGACGCUGAGGUGCGAAAGCGUGGGGAGCAAACAGGG
This 255-nucleotide ribosomal RNA is filed under the name uncultured bacterium. RNAcentral describes it as "partial 16S ribosomal RNA". It matches the Rfam family "Bacterial small subunit ribosomal RNA", at positions 524 to 777 of the family's 1533-position model. The record is from RNAcentral.